UACGUAGGGGGCAAGCGUUGUCCGGAAUUAUUGGGCGUAAAGAGCGUGUAGGCGGUCCGGUAAGUCGGCUGUGAAAGUCCAGGGCUCAACCCUGGGAUGCCGGUCGAUACUGCCGGACUAGAGUUCGGAAGAGGCGAGUGGAAUUCCCGGUGUAGCGGUGAAAUGCGCAGAUAUCGGGAGGAACACCUAUGGCGAAGGCAGCUCGCUGGGACGUUACUGACGCUGAGGCACGAAGGCCAGGGGAGCAAACGGG
This 253-nucleotide ribosomal RNA is filed under the name uncultured bacterium. RNAcentral describes it as "partial 16S ribosomal RNA". It matches the Rfam family "Bacterial small subunit ribosomal RNA", at positions 524 to 776 of the family's 1533-position model. The record is from RNAcentral.